This 497-nucleotide ribosomal RNA is filed under the name uncultured bacterium. RNAcentral's name for it is "bacterial SSU rRNA". It matches the Rfam family "Bacterial small subunit ribosomal RNA", at positions 899 to 1397 of the family's 1533-position model. The record is from RNAcentral.
ACUCAAAGGAAUUGACGGGGGCCCGCACAAGCGGAGGAACAUGUGGUUUAAUUCGAUGAUACGCGAGGAACCUUACCCGGGCUUGAAAGUUAGUGACGGACUGAGAAAUUGGUCUUCCCUUCGGGGCACGAAACUAGGUGCUGCAUGGUUGUCGUCAGCUCGUGCCGUGAGGUGUCGGGUUAAGUCCCAUAACGAGCGCAACCCUUACUGUUAGUUGCCAGCGGGUAAAGCCGGGAACUCUGACAGGACUGCCGGUGUAAGCCGAGAGGAAGGUGGGGAUGACGUCAAAUCAGCACGGCCCUUACGUCCGGGGCGACACACGUGUUACAAUGGUCGGUACAGAGGGUAGCUACCCCGCGAGGGGAUGCCAAUCUCGAAAGCCGAUCUCAGUUCGGAUCGGAGGCUGAAACUCGCCUCCGUGAAGUUGGAUUCGCUAGUAAUCGCGCAUCAGCCAUGGCGCGGUGAAUACGUUCCCGGGCCUUGUACACACCGCCCGU